UUAAGGGUAAUUUAUUGAAAAAAUGCCUUCCCCUGGGCCUCUCAUAGUGCCCCAUGCCAGAGCAAACUGUGGCCCUGAACCAUUGCCUGGCCUCUGUGUCCAUAGGCUGCUGGCACUGAAGUGGGUUGCACAGAG
This is a small nucleolar RNA of Nycticebus coucang (slow loris), 135 nucleotides long. RefSeq annotates it as small nucleolar RNA SNORA42/SNORA80 family. Lineage: Eukaryota; Metazoa; Chordata; Mammalia; Primates; Lorisidae. The transcript has a single exon. The record is from RefSeq and is a predicted model, not a curated record.